AAUGCAAGUUGGGCCUGAAGCCAUUAGGUUGAAGGCACGUUUGCUUGGGCGUCACGCAUUGCGUCACCCACUCCUCCGUGCCCCAAGUGGGCGUGUCAGUGCGUGGGCGGAUAUUGGCUCCCCGUUCACAUCCGUGCUCGGUCGGCCUAAAAAACGGGUCCCCAAUGACGGACAUCACGACAAGUGGUGGUUGCUAAAUCGUUGCGUCAUGCCGUGCAUGCCAUCCUUUGUUGUGGGUUGGCCCAUUUGACCCUAAAGCGCCGUUUAACUGCGGCGCCUCAACUGCGACCCCAGGUCAGGCGGGAUUACCCAUUGAGUUUAA
RNAcentral lists this unclassified non-coding RNA (322 nucleotides) under Tremella sp. RNAcentral describes it as "partial contains 5.8S ribosomal RNA, internal transcribed spacer 2, and large subunit ribosomal RNA". The record is from RNAcentral. Lineage: Eukaryota; Fungi; Basidiomycota; Tremellomycetes; Tremellales; Tremellaceae.